UGGGCUAAAUCUGUGGCGACCGCUCCCGAAGGGAAGCUCCGUUUCGGGAGCGAUCGCCCGAGAUUUAGCCCGGGUAAGGUUCUUCGCGUUGCAUCGAAUUAAGCCACAUGCUCCACCGCUUGUGCGGGCCCCCGUCAAUUCCUUUGAGUUUCAUUCUUGCGAACGUACUCCCCAGGUGGUAUGCUUACUGCGUUAACUGCGUCACUGAACCCGAAAGCCCAACAACUAGCAUACAUCGUUUACAGCGUGGACUAC
Molecule: unclassified non-coding RNA, 255 nt
Filed under: uncultured Bacteroidota bacterium
Lineage: Bacteria; Pseudomonadati; Bacteroidota
Description: uncultured Bacteroidetes bacterium contains 16S-23S intergenic spacer region
Source: RNAcentral